UGCGUAGGCGGGUAGGUAAGUCAGUGGUGAAAUCCUGGAGCUCAACUCCAGAACUGCCAUUGAUACUAUCUAUCUUGAAUAUUGUGGAGGUAAGCGGAAUAUGUCAUGUAGCGGUGAAAUGCUUAGAUAUGACAUAGAACACCCAUUGCGAAGGCAGCUUACUACGCAUAUAUUGACGCUGAGGCACGAAAGCGUGGGAUCAAACA
RNAcentral lists this ribosomal RNA (206 nucleotides) under uncultured bacterium. RNAcentral's name for it is "partial 16S ribosomal RNA". It matches the Rfam family "Bacterial small subunit ribosomal RNA", at positions 568 to 774 of the family's 1533-position model. The record is from RNAcentral.